Molecule: small nuclear RNA, 107 nt
Organism: Delphinapterus leucas (beluga whale)
Lineage: Eukaryota; Metazoa; Chordata; Mammalia; Artiodactyla; Monodontidae
Source: Ensembl
GUGCUCGCUUCGGCAGCACAUAUACUAAAAUUGGAACGAUACGGAAAAUAUUAGCAUGGCCCCUGCACGAGGAUGACACGCAAAUUCGUGAAGCGCUCCAUAUUUUU